AGACAAUUAGCUAAAUAUAUCCAAGAUGAACCUAUAUUUACUAAUUACAUACUGAUUGAUGUUAAUGGUCUGGUAUAUAACAUUUAAGCUAUGAGUAGACGAUUUUGGCUUCUGUAACGAUGAAAGCUUUGGCUGCCAAUUCUGACUCUGCAGAAAGCAAAAAUGUGACAGCUGAAUAAUGUGGUGUUUGAAGCCAUAAAUUUACAACUGGAGCAUUUCUAACCACGUGAUUUCUAUCCAUAUUUACAGGUAUAUUAUUUAGAUAAAUGUAAUAUACGAAGAAAAACUAAUGGAGGAAACUAAUUAACAAUAUGGUUAUAACAAUAUAAAAAAGAUAAGACAAACUAUCUCUCUACACAACAACCAAACAAACUAUCUCUUUACCACGAUACAAAAAUAUGGGUAACUCAUUUUUAUAUGAUAUUUAUAGUUUCGCUAAAAAGAUAUAUGUCCUGCAAAUUGCUCUUCAUUAGUCUCAAUUUAGAAAAACUACAAGCAUAUGAAAAGGAAUAUAUUUGGAGAUUUUCCAAUCCGUCUAACAACAAUGACAACACGUAAAAGUUUCAGCUUAUGUAAUUUGUAACCGCUAGGACAUAGUGUUAUAUAUGAUCUAACAUAACAUGUACCAGAUAAUAAAUUAUAUAUUAGCAAACAUAACAUGUACUAGGUAACAAAAUCAUCUAUCAAUUUUUUAUAUCAAAUUAUAUAUUAGGUAACAGAACAUGUACCAUGUAACAAAUAUUUUAUCAGAUAACAAGUCUAUGUAGCAUACCAACCAUUUAUUAAUAAUUUGAUAUCAACUAUGUAUAAGUUAAAAUAACAUGUACAAUGUAACAAACUAAUUUAUCAUACAAUGUAACAAACUAAUUUAUCAGAUAACAACCAAUUUAUCAAAAAAUGUAUCAACUCGCAAACCAUAUAUCUACCAAUUUAUUAAAUAAGAAACCAUGUUUGAAACAAUGUAUAAGUCGACAAACUAUUUACCAAAACAUUUACCAAUUAAUUAAAUACCUAUGAUCUUCCCAAAAGUUAAUUAAAUUCAUACACUACAAAAAAGGGGAACAUUGUGACUAAAUUUUAUGACAAAAAGUUUUGUCACAAUAUUGUGACUAUUUACUUACUAGAUAGUGACUAAAUUUUUUUGUCGCAAAAUCGUAAAUAUUUUGUCACAAUAUUGCGAUGAAUGUAUAAGUAACAAAAAAACGUUACAAAAAGUUACAAAUAUGUGACGAAGUGGUUAGUCACAGAUGAUGUUACGGAAUCGAGACUAAAACUCGUCCCUACUAGAUACAAUUUCGCGACUUCCAUUAUGUCACCCACUAUGACUGAAGUUUGUAAUCAUAUAUCAUCUCAAUUCACUCAAAAUUUAAUCUUAUUCAAACAUUAAUCUUAAAUCUAUAAUCAAAACUCCAAACACCAUACCGUAAACUCCUAACUUUAAGUUAUAAAGAUUAAACCUUACACAUAAAGUAAUAAAUUAUAAUUACUAUAAACUUAACUAAUAUUUUACACUCAUACAACUUUUUUAAUUUUCAAUUCUAAUUUAAAAACCUUAACCUCGUACUUCUUUUUUUUUUUGAAAAAAGACAUAACCUCGUACUUUAAAGCUAAACCUCAAAUUGUAAUCCCCAAACUCCAAACCCUAAAUAAUAAAAGAUAACCUUCGACACUUUAAAUCAUUGUAGUUAAAAUCAUAAAUAAUAAACAAAACGUAAUCACUAAUUUUUAACAAAAAAUAUAAUCACUAAUUAUAUACAAAUACUUUAAACAUUUACAUAUAAAACUUAAUAAAUUUUAUUUUUUAAAAUAAAUUAAAUUUACAUACACUUUUUAAAAACCAGCAUGUUAAUCUUUUAUAAAUCUUGACACCAAACCCUAAAAACAAACUUCAAAUCAUAUACCCUAGAUAACUCUACUCUUGAACUUAGACUUUUAGUCAUAGAAAUUAAAUCACGAACUCUAAUAACAAACCUUCAACUUUAAACAAAUUCAUGCAACCAUAUACCCUAAACUCUAAAUUAUGUCUUAAUUUUUUUUUAAAUUAUCAUAAAAUUUAAUUCGUAAACCAUUACACCAACAUAUAACCAUUAAAUAUACUUAAACAAAAUUAAUCUAGUUUUAACAAAAAAAAAACAAUUUUAGUUUUCCCACGUUUUGAGAAUAUACAACUCGUUCUGGCUUCAUUUUUUUUAGGCAUUAAUCUAGUUAUCCCACGUUUUGAGAAUAUACCUUUUUUUUUGUAACUGCGUUUUGAGAAUAUACUUCUAUCUCAUAACCCUACUUUACUCUUCUGUCUCUUUCUUUUUAAUUUCGUGUAGCCUCCACCUACACUUUUCUCUCUUUCUCCAAACAAAUCAACAAUCCUCUUGAUUCUUUUUUUUUUGUUUCAGUUAUCCAUUUGAUUCUAUCUCUCUCAUUUUCUUAUCCCUUAGAACAUCUCUUUCUUUCCCCUUAUCUCUCUGUGAUUUUAAUUUAUAAUGUUUCAGAUUCAGUGUCAUGCUCUUCUCCCUCAUUAAAGGUAGAAACUCACGACCCUACUGCCUCUCGACGACUAUACUGAUCCGUACGUAAUGCAAAUGUUAUUAACAAGUUCAUAUUUCGGAUACAGAUCGAUGUAGCUAGAUAGAGCCAAUACAUCGUCGUAGAUUUGGCGACUACCCUGUUCGAGGCUUUCAUCAGGAAAAUAUGAAAAGCCAGGAGAAUACAAGGACAGCGGGGGUGUGGACAAGGGCAGAAGAAGAAUCUACAAAUGCCGAUUGUUUGCUGUAGUUUGAUAGAGACAAAGGAGACCAGUGUUACCCUAAUUUUCUUUGCUUUGGUUUGUAUUAUAAUUGGUUAUCUAGUACCAACUUAAUUUUUUGUAACCAGUUAACCAAUAUGUGGUUCAGAUAAUCAAUAAAAUAUAUUUUAGUUACAAUUU
Long non-coding RNA from Brassica napus (rape), 2920 nucleotides. RefSeq lists it as uncharacterized. The transcript is spliced from 2 exons. The record is from RefSeq and is a predicted model, not a curated record. Lineage: Eukaryota; Viridiplantae; Streptophyta; Magnoliopsida; Brassicales; Brassicaceae.